RNAcentral lists this long non-coding RNA (472 nucleotides) under Physcomitrium patens. RNAcentral describes it as "long non-coding RNA (PPAT_LNC005011)". The record is from RNAcentral. Lineage: Eukaryota; Viridiplantae; Streptophyta; Bryopsida; Funariales; Funariaceae.
GUGCUGUAGAUGAUUCUCUAAUUGAAGUUCUGAAUGGCUUGAGAAGUUACUUCGACAAGUCUCUGCCGGCGAUGUUGUUGUACCCUCAGGAACGAGCUCAAUAUGCGAGUGCAGUCCCAGCGGGAAGCGACGUCAGCCCUUGCAGCAUCUAUGGAGCAGAACACCUACUUCGGUUAUUUGUGAAGUUGUCCGAGUUGCUAGUCUAUACAAAUAUGGAACACGAAGCAUUGACCCAGCUACAACAGAAGUUAGCGGAUUUUGUAAAGUUCCUUCAACGGAACCAAAGCAACUUCUUUCUUACCAGUUACGCUUAAGCCGCAGCUGUAAAUAUUAUUAUCUCACAUCAGCAAUUUUUUAAGGCCCUCAUUUUAUUUUUCACCUGAUGACAAUGGUCCACAUUGUUUUGUACAGCUGCUCAAACUCGAAUUAAGAAUGGUGGAUACAAAGUCCAUCUUAUUCCGACUUUUUCGUA